CAGUCGCCACGGGAAUACGAAGGGUGCAAGCGUUACUCGGAAUUACUGGGCGUAAAGCGUGCGUAGGCGGUUGGUUAAGUCUGCUGUGAAAGCCCUGGGCUCAACCUGGGAACUGCAGUGGAAACUGGCCAGCUAGAGUGUGUCAGAGGAUGGUGGAAUUCCCGGUGUAGCGGUGAAAUGCGUAGAGAUCGGGAGGAACACCAGUGGCGAAGGCGGCCAUCUGGGACAACACUGACGCUGAGGCACGAAAGCGUGGGGAGCAAACAGGAUUAGAUACCCCAGUAGUCCCUGUCUCUUAUAC
RNAcentral lists this ribosomal RNA (301 nucleotides) under uncultured bacterium. RNAcentral's name for it is "partial 16S ribosomal RNA". It matches the Rfam family "Bacterial small subunit ribosomal RNA", at positions 509 to 807 of the family's 1533-position model. The record is from RNAcentral.